RNAcentral lists this ribosomal RNA (406 nucleotides) under uncultured bacterium. Its description in RNAcentral is "partial 16S ribosomal RNA". It matches the Rfam family "Bacterial small subunit ribosomal RNA", at positions 30 to 526 of the family's 1533-position model. The record is from RNAcentral.
AUUGAACGCUGGCGGCAGGCCUAACACAUGCAAGUCGAGCGAGCGGCGGACGGGGGAGUAAUGUAUGGGGGUCUGCCCGAUAGAGGGGGAUAACUACUGGAAACAGUGGCUCAUACCGCAUACGCUCGGAUGAACGCAUAUGGGAGUAGCUCGUGGUUAGGGUAAUGCCACACCUAGGCGACGAUCCCUAGCUGUUCUGAGAGGAUGAUAAGCCACACUGGAACGGAGACACGGCCCAGACUCCUACGGGAGGCAGCAGUGGGGAAUAUUGCACAAUGGGCGCAAGCCUGAUGCAGCCAUGCAGCGUGUAGGAAGAAGGCCCUAGGGUUGUAAAGUACUUUCAGUGGGGAGGCGUUACCGACAGAAGAAGCACCGGCUAACUCCGUGCCAGCCGCCGCGGUAAUUC